CACGCACCGCCUGCAGUGAUUGGGUCAUGCAUAGGGCCGGAAAGCGGUGCAUGAAAAUUUUUUUUUUCUUCCGAUGCUGUGCGGGAGCCAAUCACCAUGAAUGAUGGAUGCAGUUCUGCACCACCCAUAGUGCACAAAGAAUUUCACGUACUCCACCAAAGGACAGAAACUUGAGGCAGUAGGAGCUGAAUUUGCUCGCUUGGUGUUGGUGUC
RNAcentral lists this long non-coding RNA (213 nucleotides) under Elaeis guineensis (African oil palm). Its description in RNAcentral is "long non-coding RNA (EGUI_LNC034087)". The record is from RNAcentral. Lineage: Eukaryota; Viridiplantae; Streptophyta; Magnoliopsida; Arecales; Arecaceae.